UCGGGUAUGGUGUAACGGCUAACAUUGCCGCCUCUCAUUUCCAUUAGAAGCCGGAUCGCGGCAGCUCGGGGUUCGAUUCCCCGUACCCGAA
This 91-nucleotide transfer RNA is filed under the name Crucibulum laeve. RNAcentral describes it as "tRNA-Glu". It matches the Rfam family "tRNA". Rfam says of the family: Transfer RNA (tRNA) molecules are approximately 80 nucleotides in length. Their secondary structure includes four short double-helical elements and three loops (D, anti-codon, and T loops). The record is from RNAcentral. Lineage: Eukaryota; Fungi; Basidiomycota; Agaricomycetes; Agaricales; Nidulariaceae.